GACUGACUGAUAGUAUUUUCCUUUGGAAGAUCCUUUUAUAUUCUGUCUCUAUGAAAGAAGUGUUUUCAAUGAAAUAAGAUAUUUAUUCCAAAUCAAUCCUGCACCAGAAGCUCCAUUUCUGCAUUCGCUUCCAGAAAACACAGCAGCCGUAUGUGAAUUUGGGAGUGGUCCCACGAACCGGUUAUGAGACGAGGUUUUGGAGCUGGAUCACACCUGACACAACUGGCAUUGAAAACCUUAUUACCAAGAGCCUCUGGCACAAGGCUGCUAUGAAGAAAUACCCAAGACUGGGUACUUUCUCAACUUUCAAAUUGAGCUGUUCAGAAUGUGUGAAACAAUUUUAAGAUGAAGUCAAAGAUACUUGAAGCAGAAGCUGUAUCUGAGGAAGCUGUAUAUAAACCCAAUUUAAAGCAAGUUUAACCUGCUGAUUGGGAAGAAUUUUUAUGAAAAGCUGUGUGCUUCCUGAUAAGAAAAAAGGCUUUCCUGUUUCGAUCAAACCAGAACCAGAUGAGAACUCAGCACAGGCACUGCAGCCACGGAGGUUUCCAGAUAGAAAAAUUGACACCCCUGAGAUCCCAUAACAUUUUGGGGACUCAUCUGGGAUCUGCGGAAGGAGCUUGACUCUUUUCAUUGGCAAUAAAUGGCGCCCCAACAUGGGGACUCAGAGAAGACUCAGGAGCCCCAAGCAGUUGUCCGAAAUCAGAGCUAAGGUACCAGCCAGGGUUAAUUGAAGACUCACCAAGUUCAAGCUUCUCCUUUGGUGGAACUGUCUCCCUGGCUUGAAAUCAUUGCACCAGAAGAGGCACUGGGACACAGAGCUGAGAUUGAAGAACACUUGAAAAUUAUCAAGAAUGUACUGCGGAGUAUUGAAAUUGCAAGUUAUCAUCAAAGGAAGCUGUAAGCAUCAUGACUCAGUGAUGUAUUUUCUCUGUAUUUACCAUUUUAAACCAAAUUUAGUGUUCUCUCUGAAGGACAAUCUAAAUAAAGUAGUUGUAAAUUAAUUUAUAAUAAUGAAUAAAUAUUCAAACAAUUAUUUUGAUAGGUUUUAUCCAGCAGAAACUGAGAAAAUUUAAUCUUACAUGACAUUGGGAUGCUAUAUUAUUUGACAUGAAACAAAUAUUUUAAACCACACUUUUAAAUGGUGUAUAUUGCACUACCUUUUAAAAAAAAGAAAUAGAAGUUUUGAAUAAGAAAUAUUCCUUUUGUCUAUGAAAUAAAUUAAAAUGCUUUUC
Molecule: long non-coding RNA, 1232 nt
Organism: Homo sapiens (human)
Lineage: Eukaryota; Metazoa; Chordata; Mammalia; Primates; Hominidae
Exons: 9
Source: RefSeq, a predicted model, not a curated record